This 93-nucleotide signal recognition particle RNA is filed under the name Lactobacillaceae bacterium. RNAcentral describes it as "signal recognition particle sRNA small type". It matches the Rfam family "Bacterial small signal recognition particle RNA". From Rfam's summary of the family: The signal recognition particle (SRP) is a universally conserved ribonucleoprotein involved in the co-translational targeting of proteins to membranes. Archaeal SRP consists of a 7S RNA and homologues of the eukaryotic SRP19 and SRP54 proteins. Lineage: Bacteria; Bacillati; Bacillota; Bacilli; Lactobacillales; Lactobacillaceae. The record is from RNAcentral.
CAGGAGGAAUUUGGGUCAGCUUGUCGCCAAUCUGGUCAGGUUCGGAAGGAAGCAGCCACAACGAUUUAACUGGGGUCAAAUUUCCUCCGCAUA